This 269-nucleotide long non-coding RNA is filed under the name Nicotiana benthamiana. Its description in RNAcentral is "long non-coding RNA (NBEN_LNC022121)". Lineage: Eukaryota; Viridiplantae; Streptophyta; Magnoliopsida; Solanales; Solanaceae. The record is from RNAcentral.
UCUCUUAUUUAAUAUUUUAAUUGCAUAUUUAAUUUUAGCUUAUAUUUUCAUUUUUACAAUAUGUUUAAUGCUGCUAGGGGUGGAAAUAAAAAGAGAGGUAGUCCUGUAGCUUCUGGUAGUAAUAGUAAUGACCCAAUAACACAUGUUUCUGAAUCAUCGCCUAAUAAGCAAGUUGUAGAGAUUGAUUAUGAACAAUUAAAAGAAGAUUUUGGAAUAGAAGAUAAUGAAAUUGGAAUAGAAGAUGAGAUACCACCUAUACCUAGUAGUGG